UACGUAGGGGGCAAGCGUUGUCCGGAAUCAUUGGGCGUAAAGAGCGUGUAGGCGGCCCGAUAAGUCCGCCGUGAAAGUCCAGGGCUCAACCCUGGAAUGCCGGUGGAAACUGUCGGGCUGGAGUCCGGAAGAGGCGAGUGGAAUUCCUGGUGUAGCGGUGAAAUGUGUAGAGAUCAGGAGGAACACCGGUGGCGCAGGCGGCCCGCUGGACGGAGACUGACGCUGAGGCGCGAAAGCGUGGGGAGCAAACGGG
Molecule: ribosomal RNA, 253 nt
Filed under: uncultured bacterium
Lineage: Bacteria
Description: partial 16S ribosomal RNA
Rfam family: Bacterial small subunit ribosomal RNA
Source: RNAcentral